This 500-nucleotide unclassified non-coding RNA is filed under the name uncultured Glomus. RNAcentral's name for it is "SSU rRNA". It matches the Rfam family "Eukaryotic small subunit ribosomal RNA", at positions 591 to 1092 of the family's 1831-position model. The record is from RNAcentral. Lineage: Eukaryota; Fungi; Glomeromycota; Glomeromycetes; Glomerales; Glomeraceae.
CCAAUAGCGUAUAUUAAAGUUGUUGCAGUUAAAAAGCUCGUAGUUGAAUUUCGGGAUCAGUAGGUCGGUCGUGCCACUGGUAUGAACUGGUCUCACUGGUUCCUCCCUCUUGACGAACUGCAAUGCUAUUAAUUCAGUGUUGUAGGAAAUCAGGACUGUUACUUUGAAAAAAUUAGAGUGUUUAAAGCAGGCUUUGGCUUGAAUACAUUAGCAUGGAAUAAUGAAAUAGGACGUUCGAUCCUAUUUUGUUGGCUUCUAGGAUUGACGUAAUGAUUAAUAGGGACAGUUGGGGGCAUUAGUAUUCAAUUGUCAGAGGUGAAAUUCUUGGAUUUAUUGAAGACUAACUACUGCGAAAGCAUUUGCCAAGGAUGUUUUCAUUAAUCAAGAACGAAAGUUAGGGGAUCGAAGACGAUCAGAUACCGUCGUAGUCUUAACCAUAAACUAUGCCGACUAGGGAUCGGAUGAUGUUAAUUUUUUAAUGACUCAUUCGGCGCCUUACA